RNAcentral lists this ribosomal RNA (676 nucleotides) under Burkholderia territorii. RNAcentral's name for it is "bacterial SSU rRNA". It matches the Rfam family "Bacterial small subunit ribosomal RNA", at positions 50 to 719 of the family's 1533-position model. The record is from RNAcentral. Lineage: Bacteria; Pseudomonadati; Pseudomonadota; Betaproteobacteria; Burkholderiales; Burkholderiaceae.
CUUACCUGCAAGUCGAACGGCAGCACGGGUGCUUGCACCUGGUGGCGAGUGGCGAACGGGUGAGUAAUACAUCGGAACAUGUCCUGUAGUGGGGGAUAGCCCGGCGAAAGCCGGAUUAAUACCGCAUACGAUCCACGGAUGAAAGCGGGGGACCUUCGGGCCUCGCGCUAUAGGGUUGGCCGAUGGCUGAUUAGCUAGUUGGUGGGGUAAAGGCCUACCAAGGCGACGAUCAGUAGCUGGUCUGAGAGGACGACCAGCCACACUGGGACUGAGACACGGCCCAGACUCCUACGGGAGGCAGCAGUGGGGAAUUUUGGACAAUGGGCGAAAGCCUGAUCCAGCAAUGCCGCGUGUGUGAAGAAGGCCUUCGGGUUGUAAAGCACUUUUGUCCGGAAAGAAAUCCUUGGCUCUAAUACAGUCGGGGGAUGACGGUACCGGAAGAAUAAGCACCGGCUAACUACGUGCCAGCAGCCGCGGUAAUACGUAGGGUGCAAGCGUUAAUCGGAAUUACUGGGCGUAAAGCGUGCGCAGGCGGUUUGCUAAGACCGAUGUGAAAUCCCCGGGCUCAACCUGGGAACUGCAUUGGUGACUGGCAGGCUAGAGUAUGGCAGAGGGGGGUAGAAUUCCACGUGUAGCAGUGAAAUGCGUAGAGAUGUGGAGGAAUACCGAUGGCGAA